AAARRAAAUUGAKGGGGAYYCWCACAAGCGGUGGAGKAUGUGGUUUAAUUMGAAGCAACGCGAAGAACCUUACCAGGUCUUGACAUCCUUAUGCCCGCUCUAGAGAUAGAGUUUUCCYUUCGGGGACAUAAGUGACAGGUGGUGCAUGGUUGUCGUCAGCUCGUGUCGUGAGAUGUUGGGUUAAGUCCCGCAACGAGCGCAACCCUUGAUYUUAGUUGCCAGCAUUCAGUUGGGCACUYUAAGGUGACUGCCGGUGACAAACCGGAGGAAGGUGGGGAUGACGUCAAAUCAUCAUGCCCCUUAUGACCUGGGCUACACACGUGCUACAAUGGAUGGUACAAAGGGCAGCAAAGCCGCAAGGCCAAGCRAAUCCCAUAAAACCAUUCUCAGUUCGGAUUGUAGGCUGCAACUCGCCUACAUGAAGCCGGAAUCGCUAGUAAUCGCGGAUCAGCAUGCCGCGGUGAAUACGUUCCCGGGUCUUGUACACACCGCCCGUCACACCACGAGAGUUAGCAACACCCGAAGUCGGUGAGGUAACCAUUUGGAGCCAGCCGCCGAAGGUGGGGCCAAUGAUUGGGGGAAGUCKAACAAGAGCRGRG
RNAcentral lists this ribosomal RNA (599 nucleotides) under Amphibacillus sp. NRC-WN. RNAcentral's name for it is "partial 16S ribosomal RNA". It matches the Rfam family "Bacterial small subunit ribosomal RNA", at positions 902 to 1502 of the family's 1533-position model. The record is from RNAcentral. Lineage: Bacteria; Bacillati; Bacillota; Bacilli; Caryophanales; Bacillaceae.